UAAGGAAUAUUGGACAAUGGCCGCAAGGCUGAUCCAGCCAUGCCGCGUGCAGGAUGAAGGUGCUCUGCAUUGUAAACUGCUUUUGUUCGGGAAUAAACCCUUUCACGUGUGAGAGGUUGAAUGUACCGAAAGAAUAAGGGACGGCUAACUUCGUGCCAGCAGCCGCGGUAAUACGAAGGUCCCAAGCGUUAUCCGGAUUUAUUGGGUUUAAAGGGUGCGUAGGCGGGUUAUUAAGUCAGUGGUGAAAGCU
This 250-nucleotide ribosomal RNA is filed under the name uncultured bacterium. RNAcentral's name for it is "partial 16S ribosomal RNA". It matches the Rfam family "Bacterial small subunit ribosomal RNA", at positions 355 to 602 of the family's 1533-position model. The record is from RNAcentral.